UACGGAAGGUCCACGCGUUAAUCGGAAUUACUGGGCGUAAAGCGCGCGUAGGUGGUUUAUUAAGUUGGGUGUGAAAGCCCCGGGCUCAACCUGGGAACUGCAUCCAAAACUGAUUCACUAGAGUACGAAAGAGGGAGGUAGAAUUCACAGUGUAGCGGUGGAAUGCGUAGAUAUUGUGAAGAAUAUCAAUGGCGAAGGCAGCCUCCUGGUUCUGUACUGACACUGAGGUGCGAAAGCGUGGGUAGCGAACAGGAUUAGAUACCCUGGUAGUCCACGCCGUAAACGAUGACAACUAGCUGUUGGGAAGCAAUGCUUUUCAGUGGCGCAGCUAACGUAUUAAGUUGUCCGCCUGGGGAGUACGGCCGCAAGGUUAAAACUCAAAUGAAUUGACGGGGACCCGCACAAGCGGUGGAGCAUGUGGUUUAAUUCGAUGCAACGCGAAAAACCUUACCUACUCUUGACAUCCUUGGAAUCUCUUGUAAUGAGAGGGUGCCUUUUGGAACCAAGUGACAGGUGCUGCAUGGCUGUCGUCAGCUCGUGUCGUGAGAUGUUCCGUUAAGUCGGAUAACGAGCGCAACCCUUACCCUUAUUUGCCAGCGGUUCGGCCGGGAACUAUAAGGGGACUGCCGGUGAUAAACCGGAGGAAGGUGAGGAUGACGUCAAAUCAUCAUGGCCCUUACGAGUAGGGCUACACACGUGCUACAAUGGGAAGUACAGAGGGACGCCAAAGCGUGAGCUGGAGCUAAUCUCAUAAAACUUUUCGUAGUCCGGAUUGCAGUCUGCAACUCGACUGCAUGAAGUCGGAAUCGCUAGUAAUCGCGGAUCAGCACGCCGCGGUGAAUACGUUCUCGAGUCA
RNAcentral lists this ribosomal RNA (856 nucleotides) under uncultured bacterium. Its description in RNAcentral is "SSU rRNA". It matches the Rfam family "Bacterial small subunit ribosomal RNA", at positions 524 to 1381 of the family's 1533-position model. The record is from RNAcentral.